RNAcentral lists this ribosomal RNA (499 nucleotides) under uncultured bacterium. RNAcentral's name for it is "bacterial SSU rRNA". It matches the Rfam family "Bacterial small subunit ribosomal RNA", at positions 28 to 524 of the family's 1533-position model. The record is from RNAcentral.
GAUGAACGCUAGCGGCAGGCCUAAUACAUGCAAGUCGAGGGGCAGCGCGGUAGCAAUACUGGCGGCGACCGGCGCACGGGUGCGUAACACGUAUGCAACCUAUCUUCAACUGGAGGAUAGCCCGGGGAAACUCGGAUUAAUACUCCAUAACACAGGGAUCCCGCAUGGGAAUAUUGUUAAAGCUACGGCGGUUGAAGAUGGGCAUGCGUUCGAUUAGCUAGUUGGUGUAGGUAACGGCUCACCAAGGCUACGAUCGAUAGGGGGUCUGAGAGGAUGAUCCCCACACUGGUACUGAGAUACGGACCAGACUCCUACGGGAGGCAGCAGUAGGGAAUAUUGGUCAAUGGGCGCAAGCCUGAACCAGCCAUGCCGCGUGCAGGAAGAAGGCCCUCUGGGUUGUAAACUGCUUUUAUACAAGAGAAAACCCUGGUACGUGUACCAGGUUGAUAGUAUUGUAAGAAUAAGCAUCGGCUAACUUCGUGCCAGCAGCCGCGGUAAU